UGCGUAGGCGGGUAGGUAAGUCAGUGGUGAAAUCCUGGAGCUCAACUCCAGAACUGCCAUUGAUACUAUCUAUCUUGAAUAUUGUGGAGGUAAGCGGAAUAUGUCAUGUAGCGGUGAAAUGCUUAGAUAUGACAUAGAACACCCAUUGCGAAGGCAGCUUACUACGCAUAUAUUGACGCUGAGGCACGAAAGCGUGGGGAUCAAACA
Molecule: ribosomal RNA, 207 nt
Filed under: uncultured bacterium
Lineage: Bacteria
Description: partial 16S ribosomal RNA
Rfam family: Bacterial small subunit ribosomal RNA
Source: RNAcentral